UCUAGCACAGCCUCAUGGAACUAGAAGGAAAUCGGGCAUGUUCUACCCUUGGAGGGCUUGGACCAGAGUGCAAGGGUUGCUGGGUGUUCUCCAGAUGGCUCCAGCCAGGAGCAAGCUCAGAAGUGAGCAGCAAAAGAGUUCUAGGGACCAAGCAAGACAGGGGAAUUCCCUCAAGGGACUUCCUCUCAGCAGGUCCCCUCCCCCACCGGGAGUGUGGCUCCCAGAUGCAGCCUGGGUCCCCCCCCAGCAGGGGGCCCUUGGGAUCUCAGCAAAACCCAUGCCCUCUGCCCAGCUACUCAUUGCCUGGUCCAUGCCUCUGCUUUCCAGACCUGUGGCUCAAGCAGGAGACAUGGAUGAAAUGGAAGGGGCCAGGUAUGGCAGGAGGCCUGGCCAGGGGCACCCAGGAAGAUAAGAGCUCUCCUCUGGGGAAGACCUAGGGGUUGACUCCAUGGGAAACUGGACAAGAUCGCCAUCCCUCUGAAAGCUUGGCAAAGAAGGGAAUCCUGGAGACGCAGAGGGCUCUCACAGCAGAGAAGGGAUCCCCAGGCGGAGCCAGGGUGCCAACGGCUCCAGGCGCAAGUCGGGGAGAAACCCUAAGGACCACCCCCACCCCCAGGGAGUCGCCACCAAGAAAAGGGACACGGAGAAGAGAAGGACAGGAGGAUCCUGCCCUGAUCGCCAGAGAGGACCGCUUGCCGCAGAUGCGGCCAGGACAGGCGGGAGGCCGGGCCCGCCUCCCCAAAGCGCCGUCGGCAGAGCCACUGGCGGGGCCCUGGCGGGGCUCCAGUCCCGGCUCUUCAACCACGUGGGCACGCCGGACCUGGCUCUGGGCAAGCUGCGGGCU
This is a long non-coding RNA of Equus quagga, 844 nucleotides long. RefSeq lists it as uncharacterized. The record is from RefSeq and is a predicted model, not a curated record. NCBI's taxonomy places the organism in Eukaryota, Metazoa, Chordata, Mammalia, Perissodactyla, Equidae. The transcript is spliced from 3 exons.